AACUUAGUGAGAGUAAACCAUUUUGUUCAUGGUUUCUUCACUUUGUUAUCCCAUUAUAGUAUUUGAAGGUCAAAAUUCUUGUCUUCUAACCAGACAGAGAGUGGAAUGCGGUUUUGCAGUUUACAGAAACAUCUUGCUUGCACCUUAUCCUGCCAAUUACAUACCCUUUCUUCUGGAUGAAAUAACUAAAAAAGGAGGCAAAAAGCCAAGCGGCAUGAUAUAUGCUGACAAAGCUGAGAAGAUGACAAUCUCAUGGAAGAAAAUUGGAGACAGCAGUGCUUUCCUGCAAGAAUUUCAGUUCUUUUCUGAAGCUAAGUGCCUGCUCCUUUUGAUGUAGGAAGACAUUUUAUCUGCUUGUUGAUUCUUCAGAGUGUUCCUUUACAGGCUUCAUGCUAUUGACUAUUAGAAUUCAUGCAGACAAACACAGUGGGAGUCAUGCAGAGUGCUGAGGCAGCCUCUCAAGCGGUAAGAAAAUCUGCUCAGAAGUUGUUUUAAAGAGGGAAUUUCAGGAAUGGCAUACUAUAGAGAUGUAACAAAGUAACUUAGAUCCUGAGGGUACUACGUUUGACUCUUUAGCAGACCUGUGAAAGACAAGGUAGGAGCAGUAGUGUCCUUACUGUUGAGUGAUUAAUGAAAAUGACUUCAGGGACUGGAAAGACCGUGACACUAGAGAAGACAGUGAAAAGAAUGACUUAUAAGUCCCGUUAUGUAAAAUUACUUGGUAAGGAAAGACAACCAAAUGCUGAGGCAGUGUAACCUCUUGACAGAGAAUUCGAAAACAAUUGGGUUGGACUGCCAACAAGCAGGCCCUGGGGACAGAUAGCUUAAGAAAAGUAAAAGUGGAAAUCCCUGCUGCAUGAGGAAGUACAUGAAUUAGAGUAUGUUAAGUCACACCCAGAUCUCUUGAGUCCAUUUCCAGCAUAAAUUAAGAACAUGGCAAUUUGAAUCUGUAGGAGUAAAUGCAGUUAAGAGUCUGUGCUAAUAGCAGAGUUUUGCAAUUAUACUGUGUUUUUGUUUUGUUUUGUUUUUUCAUUUUGUGAUAUCCUCACCAUGUUGGGAGAUGGGGGAGCUAUCCAGCUUCAGUAUUCAAACAGCUCCCUGUUAGGUCAGAUCCUCACCAUGUCAGUACUUUUGUUUUGAUGUCUUCCUGGUGGGCUAUUGCAAAGAGGCAAAAAGGAAAGGAACAGAUUGUUUUCUUGUGUGUGUGUGUGUGUGUGUGGUUGUUUUUUUUUUUUUUUUUUUUUUUUCUCCUUAAGAAAACUUGUAAAGAUUGAAAAAAGAGCCCUGUCUUGUCUAGCCAAGGAAUAAUAAAUAAAAGCAGGUGUAAGGGGUUGGAAUUGAA
This 1342-nucleotide long non-coding RNA is filed under the name Struthio camelus australis. RNAcentral's name for it is "lncRNA (ENSSCUG00000007567.1)". The record is from RNAcentral. Lineage: Eukaryota; Metazoa; Chordata; Aves; Struthioniformes; Struthionidae.